ACGCACGCUGGCGGCGUGCCUAAUACCUGCAAGUAGCACGCUGAAGGAGGAGCUUGCUUCUCUGGAUGAGUUGCGAACGGGUGAGUAACGCGUAGGUAACCUGCCUGGUAGCGGGGGAUAACUAUUGGAAACGAUAGCUAAUACCGCAUAAUAGUAGAUGUUGCAUGACAUUUGCUUAAAAGGUGCAAUUGCAUCACUACCAGAUGGACCUGCGUUGUAUUAGCUAGUUGGUGGGGUAACGGCUCACCAAGGCGACGAUACAUAGCCGACCUGAGAGGGUGAUCGGCCACACUGGGACUGAGACACGGCCCAGACUCCUACGGGAGGCAGCAGUAGGGAAUCUUCGGCAAUGGACGGAAGUCUGACCGAGCAACGCCGCGUGAGUGAAGAAGGUUUUCGGAUCGUAAAGCUCUGUUGUAAGAGAAGAACGAGUGUGAGAGUGGAAAGUUCACACUGUGACGGUAUCUUACCAGAAAGGGACGGCUAACUACGUG
This 494-nucleotide ribosomal RNA is filed under the name uncultured bacterium. Its description in RNAcentral is "partial 16S ribosomal RNA". It matches the Rfam family "Bacterial small subunit ribosomal RNA", at positions 29 to 507 of the family's 1533-position model. The record is from RNAcentral.